AUACUUACCUGGCAGGGGAGAUACCAUGAUCACUUAGGUGGUUUUCCCAGGGCGAGGCUCACCCAUUGCACUUGGGGUGUGUUGACCUCUGCGAUUUCCCCAAAUGCGGGAAACUCGACUGUAUAAUUUUUGUUAGUGGGGGACUGCGUUCGCGCUUUCCCCUC
This 164-nucleotide small nuclear RNA is filed under the name Microtus ochrogaster (prairie vole). RNAcentral's name for it is "U1 spliceosomal RNA (ENSMOCG00000003993.1)". It matches the Rfam family "U1 spliceosomal RNA". Rfam says of the family: U1 is a small nuclear RNA (snRNA) component of the spliceosome (involved in pre-mRNA splicing). Its 5' end forms complementary base pairs with the 5' splice junction, thus defining the 5' donor site of an intron. Lineage: Eukaryota; Metazoa; Chordata; Mammalia; Rodentia; Cricetidae. The record is from RNAcentral.